RNAcentral lists this ribosomal RNA (440 nucleotides) under uncultured bacterium. RNAcentral describes it as "partial 16S ribosomal RNA". It matches the Rfam family "Bacterial small subunit ribosomal RNA", at positions 338 to 795 of the family's 1533-position model. The record is from RNAcentral.
CCUACGGGAGGCAGCAGUGGGGGAUAUUGCACAAUGGGGGAAACCCUGAUGCAGCGACGCCGCGUGUGGGAAGACGGUCCUCUGGAUUGUAAACCACUGUCCCCAGGGACGAAGAUGACGGUACCUGGGGAGGAAGCUCCGGCAAACUACGUGCCAGCAGCCGCGGUAAUACGUAGGGAGCGAGCGUUGUCCGGAAUUACGGGGUGAAAAGGGAGCGUAGGCGGGACUGCAAGUUGGGUGUCAAAUCUACCGGCUCAACCGGUAGCCGCACUCAAAACUGCAGUUCUUGAGUGAAGUAGAGGCAGGCGGAAUUCCUAGUGUAGCGGUGAAAUGCGUAGAUAUUAGGAGGAACACCAGUGGCGAAGGCGGCCUGCUGGGCUUUUACUGACGCUGAGGCUCGAAAGUGUGGGGAGCAAACAGGAUUAGAUACCCCAGUAGUC